Molecule: transfer RNA, 85 nt
Filed under: Felis catus (domestic cat)
Lineage: Eukaryota; Metazoa; Chordata; Mammalia; Carnivora; Felidae
Rfam family: tRNA
About the family: Transfer RNA (tRNA) molecules are approximately 80 nucleotides in length. Their secondary structure includes four short double-helical elements and three loops (D, anti-codon, and T loops).
Source: Rfam by way of RNAcentral
ACCUGGGUGGCUCAGUCGGUUGAGUGCCCGACUUCAGCUCAGGUCAUGAUCUCACAGUUUGUGGGUUCAAGCCCCGCAUCAGGCU